AACCCCUAGUAAAGUGGCGUACGGGUGAGUAACACGUAGGUCAUCUACCCUAAAGUCUGGAAUAACCGGCCGAAAGGCUGGCUAAUACUGGAUAGAGCGACGGAAUCCGUAAUGGGUUUUUCGGGAAAGGGAGCCUGUAAGGGCCCUCGCUUUAGGAUGAGCCUGCGUCCCAUCAGCUAGUUGGUAAGGUAAUGGCUUACCAAGGCAAUGACGGGUAGCUGGUCUGAGAGGAUGAUCAGCCACACUGGAACUGAAACACGGUCCAGACUCCUACGGGAGGCAGCAGUGGGGAAUUGUUCACAAUGGGCGCAAGCCUGAUGACGCAACGCCGCGUGGGGGAUGAAGGUCUUCGGAUUGUAAACCCCUGUCGAACGGGACGAAAGACCCGGGAGCUAAUCAUCCCGGGAGUGACGGUACCGUUAAAGGAAGCCACGGCUAACUCUGUGCCAGCAGCCGCGGUAA
This 462-nucleotide ribosomal RNA is filed under the name uncultured delta proteobacterium. RNAcentral describes it as "bacterial SSU rRNA". It matches the Rfam family "Bacterial small subunit ribosomal RNA", at positions 82 to 523 of the family's 1533-position model. The record is from RNAcentral. Lineage: Bacteria; Deltaproteobacteria.